Molecule: transfer RNA, 71 nt
Filed under: Epitrix abeillei
Lineage: Eukaryota; Metazoa; Arthropoda; Insecta; Coleoptera; Chrysomelidae
Description: tRNA-Lys
Source: RNAcentral
CAUUAGAUGGCCGAAAGUAAGCAAUGGAAUUUUAAAUCAUUUUAUGACUCAGUCACGCAUGUCUCUAAUGA